RNAcentral lists this long non-coding RNA (1248 nucleotides) under Theobroma cacao (cacao). RNAcentral's name for it is "long non-coding RNA (TCAC_LNC004068)". The record is from RNAcentral. Lineage: Eukaryota; Viridiplantae; Streptophyta; Magnoliopsida; Malvales; Malvaceae.
UAGACUAAUCAAAUUAAAUGGGUACUAUUACUUCCACAUUUUUAUCAUUAAAACGAAUGUUUCCUUCUCAAAUGACAAUCCAAUUGCACUUUCAGAAAAAAAAAAAAAUGACAAUCCAAUUGCUGGCUGGAGCUGGUGAUGAACCUCUGUCGGCUUUAAUCUAAUAUUAGCCCAUCAGGACAAUUUUAACUUUACCAAGCAGCAUGAUUUUAUCCAUUUUGAGAUAAGAAUUUACCGUGAUAGGCUUGAGCUUCAAAUAGCUUUGUUUUUGUUACAGUAGUUAGACCUUGCAAAAUCCCAAGUUAUACACGCUCUAAUGACCUUACUGUUUAUCUUUGAGACACAGAGCGUAUGAUGCUGCGUCUGCUACUGCAUCUACCGUACACAUGGUUCAGUUUGCUUGCUUCCGACCUAUGUUAAGUCUUACCACAACCAUUUGGCUUCGCUGCUCAAAGGAACCGGUUGCUCUGUUUUAUGUCGGGAAAGCCAAACGGGGUAUGUACAGGAUAUUGGUUGUUCGAACCUUCUUCGCUACGAAAUGCAUGGCUUUCAUUAACUGGUGUAAGUAGAAAAUGCUAAGGCAAGUCUUUAGCCAUUAACGAUAGGUGGCAGAAGACUCCACCCAGAAUACAAACCUCACACAUCAGGUAUCAGAAAGCAUUCACUCUACCAGCCACACUCCCUAUACAUGACAAUAAACAAUACACUUCCUAUACAAGCCGUUCCUUGCAUCUACCAUAUUCAGCAUAUUGACCUACGCCUGGAUACUUAUCUGACUUCUCAACAACCAGUUCUUUACAACAGACGCGACGGCCGUAGACAAGACAAUAAACGUACAAGAGCCUGAGAGAUAAAUAACAAGAGGUGGUAGAAACAUAAUUACAAAGGACCUACAGGAUACAUCAUUGUCGGUUACUGCUUUAGCAUGUGCAUGUGCUGGACAGCUAUCGCCAUAGAUGAUAGGAGGAUUUUUAUUGUUCUUCAACUCUAGCCUGCUCAAUAACUGGAUGCUUUGGGCUUUUGCAAAACGGUGAUAGAACCAUAUCACCAAUUCCUUAAUAAAUGAAAUCUGGUUGUUAGGAAUCUCUGCUCAAAAUUUAUUCCAGUGAUUUCAAAACGUGCAAAUGGUGAAAGUUCAUAGAAAGCAACUAGUAAGAAGUAACAUCUAAUCAAGCAGACCAAACAUUUCCGGGGAAACAUUACUCCUAAUUGACAGAACAACUGAGGUGUCUUUGCUGACCAUCAAAU